This 418-nucleotide ribosomal RNA is filed under the name uncultured bacterium. Its description in RNAcentral is "bacterial SSU rRNA". It matches the Rfam family "Bacterial small subunit ribosomal RNA", at positions 917 to 1333 of the family's 1533-position model. The record is from RNAcentral.
GGGCCCGCACAAGCAGUGGAGCAUGUGGUUUAAUUCGAUGCAACGCGAAGAACCUUACCAGGCCUUGACAUCCUCGGAACUUUCUAGAAAUAGAUUGGUGCCUUCGGGAACGCAGUGACAGGUGCUGCAUGGCUGUCGUCAGCUCGUGUCGUGAGAUGUUGGGUUAAGUCCCGUAACGAGCGCAACCCCUAUCCUUAUUUGCCAGCACAUUAUGGUGGGAACUAUAAGGAGACUGCCGGUGAUAAACCGGAGGAAGGCGGGGACGACGUCAAGUCAUCAUGGCCCUUACGACCAGGGCUACACACGUGCUACAAUGGGAUGGACAAAGAGUCGCGAAGCCGGCGAGGUGUAGCUAAUCUCACAAACCUUCUCGUAGUCCGGAUUGGAGUCUGCAACUCGACUCCAUGAAGUCGGAAUC